GACGGGGGGUCCUAGCGUUGUUCGGAAUCAUUGGGCGUAAAGGGGGCGUAGGUGGCUAUGCAAGUCAGGAGUGAAAGCCCUGGGCUUAACCCAGGAAGUGCUUUUGAAACUGCAUAGCUUGAGUGUGAGAGAGGAUAGUGGAAUUCCAGGUGUAGUGGUGAAAUACGUAGAUAUCUGGAGGAACACCGGUGGCGAAGGCGGCUAUCUGGCUCAACACUGACACUGAGGCCCGAAAGCGUGGGGAUCAAACAGG
This 253-nucleotide ribosomal RNA is filed under the name uncultured bacterium. RNAcentral's name for it is "partial 16S ribosomal RNA". It matches the Rfam family "Bacterial small subunit ribosomal RNA", at positions 524 to 776 of the family's 1533-position model. The record is from RNAcentral.